RNAcentral lists this long non-coding RNA (4761 nucleotides) under Theobroma cacao (cacao). Its description in RNAcentral is "long non-coding RNA (TCAC_LNC001981)". The record is from RNAcentral. Lineage: Eukaryota; Viridiplantae; Streptophyta; Magnoliopsida; Malvales; Malvaceae.
UCUUUUAUUUACAAUGAACGGGUAUAGUUUUGCUUAUUCAUAUAACGACUACUCCUCAAUCGCUUUCGACGCCCGAGUCUUGUGGGAGAACCCACCAAGUCCCGAGUAAGCCUUAAUUGAAAUUUUAGUUAUUACUACAUAAUCCUGCUACCUAUCUAUGAAAUUACUUUAAGCCUUAUGACUCUUUGUAAUAAAAAUUUAACAUAAUUGUAAUAAGCCAUCUUGACCUUUAUUUGCCAUAAUCGUAAAAAUACAUUAUAGUUUAUAAUUUACUAACUGCACAUUUACAUUGACACUAUUUACCAAUACAUCAUACUAUGGAUGACUUGACCUCUAGCAGUGAAGCGACUUGGAAUAAAGUGAUAUGAGAUGCCUUUACCUAUCCACAAUAGACAAAACGUGUCGAUGAACGUACGUUAGGUCGAUCACUACUUGCAAAAGGGAGAUAAAGGGAUGAGUCUCACAGAAUCAGUGAUCAUUAGCUCCGUGAGCAAGGAGUAGAUGGCAAACAAGCGUAAAGCAGUUAAUUUGAAUAAUAAAACCAGAAUAUAAAAGGAUAAUCUUAUGAAACCAAAUCACAAAUAGGGUAUUUGUGCCUUGUAGAAAUAAUGCUAUAAAUCAUAAUGCAAUACUUUCCUUGGUAAACAGUGCUGAAAAUAAAGCGUAGUAAAAUGCAUUUCAAUGCUCAAAAUCAUCCAUUUCCUUUAAAAACACAAUAGUCGUAUAAAUCACGCACGCUCCCAAAAUUUGUGGCAUGUAAACAUAACCGUGUACAUUCAUGUGUAUCAACUCAAAAUCAACUUAUAAAGCACUGAAAGCUCACAAGCAAAUAGAGGAGCUACGAAGAACAUUAACUCUCCACCAUGCAAAAGAGUACGAGUCUAAAACUCUCAAGGCUCUCGAGUAGGUAAACAUAGUAAUCACUCGUGAACCCACUUCCACAUAAUAACAAUCCUGGAGGUCUUCUUUCAUCAGAUUCCCACAACCAUGGCAGUCUCGACGAUGUUGGCCAACAUCAGAGAAAUCAAGUGGUUGCAACCAAGUAUAUCAACUUGUGGCCUAGCCACAUAUAUCAACCUGUGACCUUGCCAUGCAUAUAUCACAGACUGUGGCCCCAACCACGUCUAACAGCCCGUCGGCAAUCCAAAGGUUCUCUAGGUAGAGCUCACUUGUGCAUAAGGGUCACACUAUCUCGAUGUGACUUUCAACCUACUCUCGACGCUCUCGGUUUGUCAAAACCAUUUUCAAAACCAAAUCAAGUUUUUUGAGACUUUUGCUUUAAAUCUUUUGAAAACAAGGUUCGAUAACCUUUCAAAUUGCUUUUCACAUUAAAUGCAUGGUGUAAACAUUUGUAUAAAAAUCGAACUAAAGUCGGCUCUCAAAAGUUUGCAUUUAAACCAUUUUGACAAGUACAUUUAACUAGGCAUAUCACACAAAGAUACAAGACAUGGAUUUUGGGUACAAAACAAUGCAAAAAGGCUUGUUUCCCGAUUUCUAAAACUCUUUAUAUAUAUGUAUAUAUAUAUAUAUAUAUAUAUAUAUAUAUAUAUAUUACAUAAACAAUUUUGAAAUCAACUUNAACUUACUUAUUAUAUAUAUAUAUAUAUAUAUAUAUAUAUAUAUAUAUAUAUAUAUUCUACAUAAACAAUUUUGAAAUCAACUUGUAUCCACAAUUUCCUAUGGUUUCUACCAGCUCGUGCUUUCCACAAUAGUAGUGUAUAAAUCAUUGUAAAUCCAUUUUAAAAUCGCCUUUCAACGCUAAUAACUCAUAUUAUCCGCAAUUGCAUUUAAAGAAAAUUGGCAACGCUUAUUAAACAUAUAACAAUAUAUAGUGUAUAGAUAUUUUGAAAUAGACAUCCCUUACUCACCUUACAAUAGCGGGACACUACGUCGCUAUCAGUUCAGGUGCGUCUCUAUCUAAUGUUACUUGCCGGCCACCCGUCACCACCUCCAGUACACCACCACAGCAAACCUUCUUCACUUGUACAUGUCCUAGCAGCAAUUUAACUCAAUAUAUUUAGUGAAUGUCACCACAAAUUCAUUCAUAUUUGUUGCCUUAUGCACCACUUUCUUAGUUUUAUGCUUUUAUAUCUCAUCCCAUUUUCUUUCUCAUUCAUACAUUAAUCAUCGUUUUCAUAACUUACGUCAUGCUAGAAUCACCAUUCUUUCUCAUUUAACCUUUGCAUAUUCAUAUACAUCUUGACAUAUUUUUUUCUAAAGGAAUUCAUAUAUUUUACUUAUGUAAUUCUUUAUAUUAUACGUACUGGUAAUUUAUUUAUAAUAUUAAGUGCCCAUUUCAACCUUUUCAAGCAACUUUCAUCCAAAUCCAUCUUAUAUUUUCAUAAUAUUAACCACAUUUAUGGCAACAACAAUCAUUCCAAUCUCACUCAAUUAUUUCCAAGUUUACAUGCAUCAUAAUUGUCAUGACCCGGAACUCUCAUCGAGCCCGUGACAACCGCCGCUACGUCCCGAUAGACAUUCAUUACCCGGAAUGUCAAUCGAAAUCUCGCAAAGCUUAACAUCAGUUUUUCUCGCUUUCCCUAUGAGUAUUAGUUACUAAAAUCAUGUUUUGAGAGAUUAUAAACUAUUUCCAAAUCAAAACAAUAGAAAAAUAAUUUUUUUCUCACAGGGGCAUUUUGGUCAUUUUUCCUCAAAAAUCUCGAAAUCUGCUAAAAUGUAGUAUGCCAGUACAAAACACAUAAUUCAUAAUCAAAAAUAAGUUUAAACAUCUAAAACCUUCAUUUAAAAUGAAAUUAUGAUUAUUUUGAUAUAAUAAAAAUAAAAAAUAAAAGAAAUAUUCAAUAAAAUAUUCUAUUUUCUUAUAAAAUAAUAUUUUUAGAGUUAUACGUAAAUAAUUUUUUUUCAGCGUAAAAGCAAAAUACAUUCAUACAUACGGUAAUACAGUAAGUCAGAGUAUUUAAUUUAAUUUACAAUAACUAGUGGGCCUCCGAAUAACCAAAAUUAAGGAAGACUGUGAACCUACAGUUUGAAGGAUGCAAAUCCAAUGGUAGCUUCGAUGAAAUCCACUAUCUACAGUCUAUUCUGAGCCUUAAAUGGGUGGAAAGGAGAGUGGUGAGAUUAUAUAAUCCCAAUUAGUAAACAAAUACGAUCUAAAAUAUCUAAAGCUGAGUAAAUGGAGACAGAUUAAAAUAGAUCAUCAUACUGUAAUUUAUCACCUUUCAACUCAUUUUAACCAAAUAAAAUCAAUUCAUAUAAAUCGAGUAAUCAACAUGGCUUAUAAAUUUCUUAAAAUUUUGGUUCGUGCCAAAAUCAUUCUCAUACUCAGUUAUUAGGGAUACCUUGGCAUGGGGCUAUCCCAACCGAGUCCGCCAAGGCUGUUAAAAAUUUCGUAUACACAUAAACAUAUUUUUAUUUUGAAAACAUAGUCGUUCCUUGGCAUUGGCUGAGUUCACCCUCACGUGGUGGUUUGGCGUGAAGUGAACUCUAAGAGUGUACCUCGGGAGUUACCCUACACGCCUCUCCAACCGAGGUAAGAAUAUAACAGGGUUACCAUGCCCCUCUAAUAGGCUAAAUAAAAUCUAAACCCACCAAUUCAAUAAAAUCUCAAUCGCAUGACAUGGCAAUUAUAUCACAAUCUAACCUCUCAAGGCUAAAUACACAGUUCAUAUAUUUUCAGCACAUUUACCAAUUCAGCCAUUCAUGCAACUAUUGUCAUAAGCCAUUCGAUUCAAACCAUGAAUUUAAAAAACAUGAAAACAGUCUCCAAUUACUCUAUUUUCAAAACCAUCAUUCAAUCUCAAGACAAUUUUAUAAAAUCAUUUUCAUUUAAUCUCAUUUUGCUUAUAAAACAUAAAGAUUUACUAUUUAAUCUCAUUUUCCAUAAAAUCACAAAAUCGAAUAAAACCACUUUAGAUAAUUAAGACGAUAGUAAGGUUACUCACUAUUUUGGGAGUCGAAUUUCAAGUACUCCGAUUCUUGAUCCUCGGGUACUAUCUCUUUACUUUUGCCAGAAUGCUCACCACCUAGACAUAAUGCACAAUAAGCCAUUUACUACAUUUGUGCUAAAUUGUUAUAAAACCAAUUUAGGCUCUAUACUAAUGCAUGAAAUGGGAUGUAAAUUGUUCGGAUUAUCGUCUAAACACGAUGUUCUACACAAAUUUAAUUGUGUACUUAAAUAAAACGGUAUUGGCCUAAUUCGAUCUAUCACUCGAUUAAUUGGUCAAUAUGUCCAAUUCAACUCCAAUUAACUCCAUAUUUCUUCUAAUUCUCCAAAUCAUCAAACAUAAAUUAAAUAACUUGAAAUAUGGCAAAAUCAUCCUCACAUUUUUUCUUGGGAAUUUCGGCCGUGGUGGGUGCAUCAACACUUUGAUAUUUCCUACUUGAUUUUCUCACCAUAAUUCAUCAUUUCCUAACCAAUUCACUUGAAAUAAAAUCAAAUCCACCAUCCACACUUUACAUGGAAAAUUUAGCCAAUGAUGGGUGAUGGAAGAACAUGAAUUUUUCUUGCUUGAUUUUCAUGCUACACAUCACUAACUAACUAAAAACACUAAAAUAUCUUAAAAUCUAAUCAAAUCAAGCAUCAAAACUCCUCCCCCCAUGGUCGGCCAGCAAGGGAUUCAUCAUGCCAACUUGAUUCUCAACCAUGGAAAAUGCAAAAUAAUGCAUAGGAAAGGUAGAUCACAAGCUAGAAUUGAAAAAUCUUACCUUUUUUCACUUGUUUCCUUGAAUUUUCACACUUUUCCCUUGAAUUUUUCCACCUAGGUUUUUUGUUCUUCUUUUCUUCCUUUGUUCUUCCUUUGG